AGCAGCCGCCGCGGUAAUACGUAGGGUGCGAGCGUUAAUCGGAAUUACUGGGCGUAAAGCACACGCAGGCGGUUUGUUAAGUCAGAUGUGAAAUCCCCGAGCUUAACUUGGGAACUGCAUUUGAAACUGGCAAGCUAGAGUGUGGCAGAGGGGGGUGGAAUUCCGCGUGUAGCAGUGAAAUGCGCAGAUAUGCGGAGGAACACCGAUGGCGAAGGCAGCCCCCUGGGCCAACACUGACGCUCAUGCACGAAAGCGUGGGGAGCAAACAGGAUUAGAUACCCCAGUAGUCCCUGUCUCUUAUAC
Molecule: ribosomal RNA, 303 nt
Filed under: uncultured bacterium
Lineage: Bacteria
Description: partial 16S ribosomal RNA
Rfam family: Bacterial small subunit ribosomal RNA
Source: RNAcentral